CGCAAUGGGCGAAAGCCUGACGGAGCAACGCCGCGUGAGUGAUGACGGCCUUCGGGUUGUAAAACUCUGUGAUCCGGGACGAAAAGGCAGAGUGCGAAGAACAAACUGCAUUGACGGUACCGGAAAAGCAAGCCACGGCUAACUACGUGCCAGCAGCCGCGGUAAUACGUAGGUGGCAAGCGUUGUCCGGAAUUAUUGGGCGUAAAGCGCGCGCAGGCGGCUUCCCAAGUCCCUCUUAAAAGUGCGGGGCUUAACCCCGUGAUGGGAAGGAAACUGGGAAGCUGGAGUAUCGGAGAGGAAAGUGGAAUUCCUAGUGUAGCGGUGAAAUGCGUAGAGAUUAGGAAGAACACCGGUGGCGAAGGCGACUUUCUGGACGAAAACUGACGCUGAGGCGCGAAAGCGUGGGGAGCAAACAGGAUUAGAUACCCUGGUAGUCCACGCCGUAAACGAUGGAUACUAGGUGUAGGAGGUAUCGACCCCUCCUGUGCCGGAGUUAACGCAAUAAGUAUCCCGCCUGGGAAGUACGAUCGCAAGAUUAAACUCAAAGGAAUUGACGGGGCCCGCACAAGCGGUGGAGUAUGUGGUUUAAUUCGACGCAACGCGAAGAACCU
This 611-nucleotide ribosomal RNA is filed under the name Dialister sp. oral taxon A97. Its description in RNAcentral is "bacterial SSU rRNA". It matches the Rfam family "Bacterial small subunit ribosomal RNA", at positions 367 to 971 of the family's 1533-position model. The record is from RNAcentral. Lineage: Bacteria; Bacillati; Bacillota; Negativicutes; Veillonellales; Veillonellaceae.